RNAcentral lists this ribosomal RNA (654 nucleotides) under uncultured bacterium. RNAcentral's name for it is "bacterial SSU rRNA". It matches the Rfam family "Bacterial small subunit ribosomal RNA", at positions 202 to 842 of the family's 1533-position model. The record is from RNAcentral.
GAAAGAUGGCUUUGGCUAUCACUCUGGGAUGGACCUGCGGUGCAUUAGCUAGUUGGUAAGGUAACGGCUUACCAAGGCGAUGAUGCAUAGCCGAGUUGAGAGACUGAUCGGCCACGAUGGAACUGAGACACGGUCCAUACUCCUACGGGAGGCAGCAGUAGGGAAUCUUCCACAAUGGGCGCAAGCCUGAUGGAGCAACACCGCGUGAGUGAAGAAGGGUUUCGGCUCGUAAAGCUCUGUUGUUGGAGAAGAACGUGCGUGAGAGUAACUGUUCACGCAGUGACGGUAUCCAACCAGAAAGUCACGGCUAACUACGUGCCAGCAGCCGCGGUAAUACGUAGGUGGCAAGCGUUAUCCGGAUUUAUUGGGCGUAAAGCGAGCGCAGGCGGUUGCUUAGGUCUGAUGUGAAAGCCUUCGGCUUAACCGAAGAAGUGCAUCGGAAACCGGGCGACUUGAGUGCAGAAGAGGACAGUGGAACUCCAUGUGUAGCGGUGGAAUGCGUAGAUAUAUGGAAGAACACCAGUGGCGAAGGCGGCUGUCUGGUCUGCAACUGACGCUGAGGCUCGAAAGCAUGGGUAGCGAACAGGAUUAGAUACCCUGGUAGUCCAUGCCGUAAACGAUGAGUGCUAGGUGUUGGAGGGUUUCCGCCCUUCA